Molecule: ribosomal RNA, 244 nt
Filed under: Escherichia coli
Lineage: Bacteria; Pseudomonadati; Pseudomonadota; Gammaproteobacteria; Enterobacterales; Enterobacteriaceae
Description: partial 23S ribosomal RNA
Rfam family: Bacterial large subunit ribosomal RNA
Source: RNAcentral
AUCGUACCCCAAACCGACACAGGUGGUCAGGUAGAGAUUACCAAGGCGCUUGAGAGAACUCGGGUGAAGGAACUAGGCAAAAUGGUGCCGUAACUUCGGGAGAAGGCACCCUGAUCCGUAGGUGAAGUCCCUUGCGGAGGGAGCUGAAAUCAGUCGAAGAUACCAGCGGGCUGCAACUGUUAUUUAAAAACACAGCACUUGGCAAACCCGAAAGUGAACGUAUACGGUUUGACGCCUGCCCGGU